GACUCGGUGGCGGAUGGUCCGCGUCUGCGCUUGUUGGGAUGGGGAAGAAUGAUUUGAGCAGAAGGUGCUUGCUCGAUUCAGGCUCGAGUCA
Molecule: non-coding RNA, 91 nt
Organism: Mycena epipterygia
Lineage: Eukaryota; Fungi; Basidiomycota; Agaricomycetes; Agaricales; Mycenaceae
Source: the annotation of a GenBank genome assembly